This 644-nucleotide ribosomal RNA is filed under the name Photobacterium angustum S14. Its description in RNAcentral is "bacterial SSU rRNA". It matches the Rfam family "Bacterial small subunit ribosomal RNA", at positions 895 to 1533 of the family's 1533-position model. Lineage: Bacteria; Pseudomonadati; Pseudomonadota; Gammaproteobacteria; Vibrionales; Vibrionaceae. The record is from RNAcentral.
UAAAACUCAAAUGAAUUGACGGGGGCCCGCACAAGCGGUGGAGCAUGUGGUUUAAUUCGAUGCAACGCGAAGAACCUUACCUACUCUUGACAUCCAGAGAACUUUCCAGAGAUGGAUUGGUGCCUUCGGGAACUCUGAGACAGGUGCUGCAUGGCUGUCGUCAGCUCGUGUUGUGAAAUGUUGGGUUAAGUCCCGCAACGAGCGCAACCCUUAUCCUUGUUUGCCAGCACGUAAUGGUGGGAACUCCAGGGAGACUGCCGGUGAUAAACCGGAGGAAGGUGGGGACGACGUCAAGUCAUCAUGGCCCUUACGAGUAGGGCUACACACGUGCUACAAUGGCGUAUACAGAGGGCUGCCAACCAGCGAUGGUGAGCGAAUCCCAGAAAGUACGUCGUAGUCCGGAUUGGAGUCUGCAACUCGACUCCAUGAAGUCGGAAUCGCUAGUAAUCGUGAAUCAGAAUGUCACGGUGAAUACGUUCCCGGGCCUUGUACACACCGCCCGUCACACCAUGGGAGUGGGCUGCACCAGAAGUAGAUAGCUUAACCUUCGGGAGGGCGUUUACCACGGUGUGGUUCAUGACUGGGGUGAAGUCGUAACAAGGUAGCCCUAGGGGAACCUGGGGCUGGAUCACCUCCUUACCUAA